Long non-coding RNA from Alosa sapidissima (American shad), 353 nucleotides. RefSeq lists it as uncharacterized. The record is from RefSeq and is a predicted model, not a curated record. NCBI's taxonomy places the organism in Eukaryota, Metazoa, Chordata, Actinopteri, Clupeiformes, Clupeidae. The transcript is spliced from 5 exons.
GUCUUGUCCUGACUUCCGUAAACGGGCUCUGUUUGAAUUCCGUGAUUCUUGAACAUCGCUGGAAGAAGUCUUGGAAUGGAUUACACUCGUCUCGAAUUCGAUCUCACGAAAAUUCAUACACCAAAGCUAUGGAAAAAUGUCAGCGGCUGAUGGACACUUCUAGCAUUGAGGCGGAAGAAGAUGCGAGCGUCCACAAAAGGCAGUGCAGGGUCACGUGAUGAUGAAUCCGUUCCGCAAGCAAGAAAGCAUUCCAGGAUGGUGCGUGUGCCUGGAAGCCCUGUCUGUCAGCAGAUGUCACUGCCUCCACCACCUGCAUAUGAGUCAACACCACACAUUGCCGUCACAUAUUGCCG